Molecule: ribosomal RNA, 249 nt
Filed under: uncultured bacterium
Lineage: Bacteria
Description: partial 16S ribosomal RNA
Rfam family: Bacterial small subunit ribosomal RNA
Source: RNAcentral
AUACGGAAGGUGCAAGCGUUAAUCGGAAUCACUGGGCGUAAAGCGCGCGUAGGCCGCCUUUCUAAGUCGGACGUGAAAGGCCCUCGGCUCAACCGAGGAACUGCGUUCGAGACUGGGAGGCUUGAGUCCUGGAGAGGGUGGCGGAAUUCCGGGUGUAGGAGUGAAAUCCGUAGAUAUCCGGAGGAACACCGGUGGCGAAGGCGGCCACCUGGACAGGUACUGACGCUGAGGCGCGAAAGCGUGGGGAGC